This is a long non-coding RNA of Antechinus flavipes (yellow-footed antechinus), 1178 nucleotides long. RefSeq lists it as uncharacterized. Lineage: Eukaryota; Metazoa; Chordata; Mammalia; Dasyuromorphia; Dasyuridae. The transcript has 2 exons. The record is from RefSeq and is a predicted model, not a curated record.
CCCCCGGGGGGCAGGGUCUUGUCAAUCGAGCUCCAGGAUCCCUUAGGUGGGAGGAGAGUGGCAAGAGGAGCCCAUAGAAGGCAAGGGGGUGAAGUUACUCAAGGAGGCGGGGAAUCUUCUUUAAAUCAGCCAGUGGGGACGAUUCAAGAUCUCAGAGCGAGCCAAUGAAAUGGGAAGAGGGAUAAAAACUUGGAAGGCGGGACUAUUUAGGAAAUAAAAAGAGACCGCCAGUGGUGGGGUGGGGGGGAGAGAAAAACAGGGCAGUGAGGGCUCUAGUGAAGGCGGAGAAAGGCACAAAGGGGGCGUGGCUUCGCUACGUUUAGCCAAUGGAGCUGGCCCGGGGAAGGGCUGCCAGAAAAAGGAAGGUUUGGGGGGAGAAGCCUGAAGCAGAGCCUCAAAUUGAGGAGAGAAGGUCCAUUUUGUUGUCUCUUCUCACCAUCCCUACCCUCCUCUAUGUCAUCUCUCCUCUACGUCACCUGGACAUCCAGCCAGCAGCCAUCUAGGUUCAGGCGCUCACCACCUUCAACCUGGACAGCCUGACUUCAACCCCCCCCCCACUGACCUCACUUUCCCCACUCCAGGCUACUAUCCUCCACGCAGCUGUCAAAGCGCCUUCCCCAAAACCGAGGGGAAUCAACUCGCAAUCAACUCCCUCUUGCCUCCUCAAUCAAAUAUCAAUUCCUCUGGGCAGCAUUUAAAGCCCUUCGCCACCUGCCCUCCCUUCCCACCUCUCCGGUCUUCUUAUAGCGUUCUUCCCUUCAUAUAUUCUGGAUAUGACAUUAACCUACUAUCUCCAUUUCUAGACUCGAUGCCUUUUCAAUGCCUGAAAGGUUCUGUCCUGUGACCUUCACCUCUUCCCAGGCUUCCUUUAAGACCUGUCAAGAGACAGCUAGAUGGUGCAAUGGUUAAAGUACUAGUCCUGAAAUCAGGAGGGCCUGAGUUCAAAUUCAACUUCAGGGUCACAGACCAGUGACCCUGAGCAAAUCAUUUAAUCUUAAUUACCUCAAAAAAAAAAGUUUCAGUUCAAGGGAUAGCUAGAUGGUGUAGUGGAUAGAACAUACAUAAAUCCUGCAAUUAGGAAGACCUGAGUUCAAAUCCAACCUCAGACUUUACUGAUCUGUGACCCUGAGCAAAUCACUUAACCCUGAUUACAAAAAAAAAAAAAAAAGAAAAGAAAA